CUCUGUGUUUAGGGUUCACAGAUGCUAUACCUCCCUUUUAGGUAUAGUAACGUCCCCUAGCAUACGUAUCAAGUAUCUGCUACUACUUGUACGUAUGUCUAAGUGAGCCUAAGCUUGGUGGCUCAGUCUUAGCCUAGCUUGGAAGCUCUGUUCAAGCGUGGUGGCUAGGUCAAAAAAAAUAUUUGCCUACAUUUUAUUGGGGAAAAAAGGGAAAUUUUAAAUAUUUUUUAUCCAUUUGGGAAUGGGGGUCAGAGGGGAUAUUUUACCUUUUUUAUGACCAAAUUUUUAAAUUGUACAUAUGACUGUUUUUAUAUAUUUUUCAAUUUUAUCUCAGUUAAUUUUAAGCCCCCCAAGUCAAAUCGGAGACUUAAAAACUGGUACUCCAAAAGGAAAAAGAUAGGUGUCUUACUGUGGGCAUUUGUCUUGGUGAACUAGCACCUUAAAGUCCAGCUAACCCACAGGCCGGCUGGCUAGUACAAGCAGACAGGUAUUUUCAAUACCAUUUGGCAUUUUUAAACUUUGGCAUUUUUUCAUUUGGCUUUUUGCUUUAUAUGUUUUUUAACUAUUUGGAUUUUUAUACCAUUUGGCAUUUUUUAUUUAUGUUUUUUUUUUCAUUUUUUGCAACAUAUUUUUUCAUCAACACACCCAAAACACUUCAAAAUUAAGAGUUAAAUAUACACUUUUGGCAUUCAUAAUGUUUAUCAAUCAAAAUAGCAUUCUAUUUUCAAAUUGACAUUACACAAUUUGGCUUUCUGUAACUUUGGCUGUUAAUCUUUUGUACGAAUGCUAUGAUGACCAUUAUGUGUAGAAAAUAAGACUACAUUUCUAAAAGUGGCUCAGUAUCAUAUAUUUAUGUUUAAUGUCAAUUAGUUCUGAAUUUUCUUCAUAUUUCUAAAAUGUAAGUUCUUCCAUAUCUGGUACAUCUUAUAAUAUUGUAUUCAUUUACUAACCCAAUUUUCUCAUAGGGACUUAACACCAAGCAGAAGGGGUAUAGGUGGUAGGUGGUUAAGGGUGUUAUGAUAGGGUGAAAGGGUGAGAAAGGGAGGGAGAAAAAUAGAAUGAUGGAGAGGGUGAGGGUAUAUGAUUGUGAGUGGAAUGUAGAGAGGGAGAGAAGGUGUGAGAGAAUGUCAUUUCAUAGUAAGGGCAGGAUGUACUGGUCUAAUGGAAGUGCAGUUUUCUGUUUUGUCUCAUGUAGUUUCUAUUUUCUUCAUCAUCUGAUAACUUUAAAUAUGAAAUUGCUGCCAUCUAAAAGUUCACAGGUUAACAGCCUUU
This is a long non-coding RNA of Mytilus californianus (California mussel), 1272 nucleotides long. RefSeq lists it as uncharacterized. Lineage: Eukaryota; Metazoa; Mollusca; Bivalvia; Mytilida; Mytilidae. The record is from RefSeq and is a predicted model, not a curated record. The transcript has 2 exons.